AUGAGGUCUUUUCACAUGCAUUCACAGAUCCAAAGUCCAGAAACUGCUUCAUGGAGAGCGGGAAUAGGGAGAAGCGUGAAUAGAAAUCCAUUGGCCCUGAAUGCUGCGUUCGGAGCCAGCACCAGAAUCUGGGUUUGGGCUGGGACCUGGGACUGGGCCCGGGAUGGCCAACAUGGCCUGUCGCAGGUACUUCAUAAACCUCAUUUCGGACCGCGAUCCAGAAGAAGCAAAGAAACAGCAGCCACUGACCUGGGAGCGCCAUCACGCGAGGUGCUUGCGAGCCGGAACACCAGGAAAGAAAAUGCCUUCUCCAACCACUUAUUCAGCACCUCUGGGAAAAUUUGAAGAUAAUCAUUUUCCUAGUCUAUCUCUGGUUGGUCUAGGAGAUUUUCCAUCUCAGAAAGGUAAUUCUCAAUAAGUUCAUAGGAAUUUGAAAGUCAA
Molecule: long non-coding RNA, 441 nt
Filed under: Monodelphis domestica (gray short-tailed opossum)
Lineage: Eukaryota; Metazoa; Chordata; Mammalia; Didelphimorphia; Didelphidae
Description: lncRNA (ENSMODG00000045641.1)
Source: RNAcentral